This 407-nucleotide ribosomal RNA is filed under the name uncultured bacterium. RNAcentral's name for it is "partial 16S ribosomal RNA". It matches the Rfam family "Bacterial small subunit ribosomal RNA", at positions 30 to 526 of the family's 1533-position model. The record is from RNAcentral.
AUUGAACGCUGGCGGCAGGCCUAACACAUGCAAGUCGAGCGGAGCGGCGGACGGGUGAGUAAUGCCUAGGAAUCUGCCUGGUCGUGGGGGAUAACGUCCGGAAACGGGCGCUUAUCCCGCAUCCUAUCAGAUGAGCCUAGGUCGGAUUGGCUAGUUGGUGGGGUAAAGGCCUACCAAGGCGACCAUCCGUACCUGGUCUGAGAGGAUGAUCAGUCAAACUGGAACUGAGACACGGUCAAGACUCCUACGGGGGGCAGAAGUGGGGAAUAUUGGACAAUGGGCGAAAGCCUGAUCCAGCCAUGCCGCGUGUGUGAAGAAGGUCUUCGGAUUGUAAAGCACUUUAAGUUGGGAGGCGUUACCAACAGAAUAAGCACCGGCUAACUUCGUGCCAGCAGCCGCGGUAAUUC